CAAAAAAUCUCUUCCCUCUUUAACUAUUGGAACAACUAAAAUGGAAAACUGACUAAAAGAGGAGGCCAUACGGAGUUCCUUACGACUGCACUGCACCUCUGCUGUUUGAAAGUUGCCUUGUCUGGGUUAGGAGGAGAACAGAUGGGCAGCAGUGAGUGCGAUGAACAGUGUGUAAGAAACUGUGAAUUCUAUUUUUGGUCUGUGUCUUAUCUUGU
This 215-nucleotide long non-coding RNA is filed under the name Cyanistes caeruleus (blue tit). RNAcentral describes it as "lncRNA (ENSCCEG00000000041.1)". Lineage: Eukaryota; Metazoa; Chordata; Aves; Passeriformes; Paridae. The record is from RNAcentral.